RNAcentral lists this transfer RNA (68 nucleotides) under Epitonium scalare. RNAcentral describes it as "tRNA-Ala". The record is from RNAcentral. Lineage: Eukaryota; Metazoa; Mollusca; Gastropoda; Epitoniidae.
GACUUAAUAUUUUAAUUUAAAAAAUCUGGUUUGCAUCUAGACAUUGAAAAUAGGUAUCUUCUUAAGUC